GGAUGGAUGUCUGAGUGGUUGAAGGAGUCGGUCUUGAAAACCGGCAUAGUUUCUAAAACUAUCGAGGGUUCGAAUCCCUCUCCAUCCG
RNAcentral lists this transfer RNA (88 nucleotides) under Sphagnum fallax. RNAcentral describes it as "tRNA-Ser". It matches the Rfam family "tRNA". Rfam says of the family: Transfer RNA (tRNA) molecules are approximately 80 nucleotides in length. Their secondary structure includes four short double-helical elements and three loops (D, anti-codon, and T loops). The record is from RNAcentral. RNAcentral also lists the same sequence under 1 other name. Lineage: Eukaryota; Viridiplantae; Streptophyta; Sphagnopsida; Sphagnales; Sphagnaceae.